Molecule: ribosomal RNA, 709 nt
Filed under: uncultured Acidobacteriota bacterium
Lineage: Bacteria; Pseudomonadati; Acidobacteriota
Description: bacterial SSU rRNA
Rfam family: Bacterial small subunit ribosomal RNA
Source: RNAcentral
GGAUGUGCCGANAGGUGAAAGCUUAAGUGCCUGGAGAUGAGCUCGCGUCUGAUUAGCUAGUAGGUGUGGUAAAUGCGCACCAAGGCAAAGAUCGGUAGCCGGCNUGAGAGGGCACACGGCCACACUGGCACUGAAACACGGGCCAGACUCCUACGGGAGGCAGCAGUGGGGAAUCUUGCACAAUGGAGGCAACUCUGAUGCAGCGACGCCGCGUGAGCGAUGAAGCCCUUCGGGGUGUAAAGCUCUUUCGACGGGAACGAUAAUGACGGUACCCGGAGAAGAAGCUGCGGCUAACUACGUGCCAGCAGCCGCGGUAAUACGUAGGCAGCAAACGUUGUUCGGAAUUACUGGGCGUAAAGAGUGUGUAGGCGGUUUUGUAAGUUUGGUGUGAAAUCUCCCGGCUUAACUGGGAGGGUGCGCCGAAAACUACAAGGCUAGAGUAUUGGAGAGGAAAGCGGAAUUCCUGGUGUAGCGGUGAAAUGCGUAGAUAUCAGGAGGAACACCGGUGGUGUAGACGGCUUUCUGGACAAUUACUGACGCUGAGACACGAAAGCGUGGGGAGCAAACAGGAUUAGAUACCCUGGUAGUCCACGCCCUAAACGAUGCGUACUUGGUGUGGGUCAUUCACUUGAUCCGUGCCGGAGCUAACGCGUUAAGUACGCCGCCUGGGGAGUACGGUCGCAAGGCUGAAACUUAAAUGAAUUGACGG